Molecule: long non-coding RNA, 1733 nt
Organism: Phalaenopsis equestris
Lineage: Eukaryota; Viridiplantae; Streptophyta; Magnoliopsida; Asparagales; Orchidaceae
Exons: 3
Source: RefSeq, a predicted model, not a curated record
GGUAACUGUAAAGCUACUAACAGAGAAAGAAGGAGACUCAAGAAGAAGAAAAGUCAGAGGAAAAGCGUGAAGAAAGAUAAGAACCAAUCCUUUUAUUACAACAUUAUUUGUAUCACAAUGCUACAUAACAGAAACUGCAAAUCCCUUUAUUUAUGUAUUUGAGAUGAUAUACUUGUAAAUAGUGAAAUGGGUAAAACAAACAAUAUAAAUAUUAAGGAAAUAAUAUAAAUCUAUUGUUAUGUGUAGCUAGCCCUAGCGAGCUGAAGAGAGGGCGAAGGGAGCAGCAAGGAGCGAAGCAGAAAGCUAAGCUCGACAGCUAUCCCUAACAAGCAGAAGAGAGGGCGAAGAGUAGCGAAGCAGGAAGCUAAGCUCGAGAGAUCGGGCAUUUAAGAAAAACGAAUUCAACUCUACAAGGGCUCAUGUCAUAUAUCUUGGCCAAAAACUCAUCCCUUGGAGGUCUGUAAAACAUAAUUUAAUAGCUCACUCUUCACCAAGGCUGAAUAUUGCUAUGUUGACACCACAAUUGCCAAGCUUCGGUGGAUUUGCACACCACUCCUCGAACUUGGUGCUUCUGCCUUGGGGUGUCAAAAAUUGACCUAAUAUGCCAACUCGAUUCGAACCUGACUCAAAAAAUCCUGGUUCUGGUUGAGCCAUGUAAAUUUCAAAUCGAAUUCUAGUUAAAUAUCUUAACUCAUUUAAUUUUUUCGGUCAAGUUCAGGUUGACUUGCCACCCCGAAAUUGACCCGAAACCGACCGCCAACUCUAUGACUUGAAAUUGGCCCAUCAACUUAGAUUUGACUCGUGAUUGACUCAAAAUUGAUCUGAUUUUGACCUGAAUAGUUGUUAUUCCUUAUGUUAAACGUGUUAUACAAGUUUGGUUCGGGUUGGCGGGUUGAGGGUGAGUCGUGUUCAAGUUGAACUUUCUAGCCCAUUUAAUAUUUGGGCUAGGUUCGGGUCGGCUCAAUUUUAGGUCAGACCCGAACCCGACCUACAAACCUGUUUUGAUACCCCUACUUCUGCUAGAGGCUUUGGUGAUCUAUUAUUACAAUGUGUGUCACUUAUCUUUGUGCGAUUUAUUCUUUCACUCAUGGAUGAAACUUAUUGCUAUUUACACUCAUUUAUUUGAGAAUAAGUCUAAAAUGGCAUCCUUCAUUUGGCCCAUGUUUUGUUUGAAGCAACCAGAGGAUACUCUCACUACAACACUUCCAUGCUACCACCCCUGCAUUGUUUGAGGCUAUUAGGGGAUACAAUCACCGGAACACAUCCACGCCAUCGGUUCUCUUUAUCGAGCAUCAAGGUUGAACUUUCCAAUUAAAGCUACCUUGAAGGGCCGUUUAAAGGAAUACAAGAAAGAUUAAGGAAUAAAUGCUAAAUUGUUGUAAUUUGUUGGCUUGUUAUUUCUUUGGCUUCCAUUUGUCUACAUUGUUUUCUGCUAGAGUCACCCACCUAAAUUUGAAAUUAGGAUUUUUUUUUCGCCAUGUCAACUAUUAGUAGUCAAAGCAUGUCAAUAGAAGAAUGAAGCUAUUAUUCAAACCUUCUAUUAUGAUAAAAAUGUUGGUUAAGAUUUAGGGUACAAUAGGUUAUUGAUGAUAUCAGCAGGACCUCACCAAUGAUUAUGACAUUGACGAACACAUGCUAUUUUAUUUUGCUUUUGAAAAUAAUAUUUGCAUAAGAAUAAUAAAAAUAUUUUAUUUCGUUUUAGAUAUAUGCAAAGUAAACAUAAAGAAAACCAA